AGUGUGAUUGCUAGAUCAUAUGAUAAGAAUAUGUUUCGUUUUUAAGAAACUGGCCAACUGUCUUCCAAAGUGGCUGCACCAUGUUGCAUUCCCAAGAGCAGC
This 102-nucleotide microRNA precursor is filed under the name Marmota monax (woodchuck). Lineage: Eukaryota; Metazoa; Chordata; Mammalia; Rodentia; Sciuridae. The record is from RNAcentral.